GACGAACGCUGGCGGCGUGCUUAACACAUGCAAGUCGAACGGAAAGGCCCUGCUUUUGUGGGGUGCUCGAGUGGCGAACGGGUGAGUAACACGUGAGUAACCUGCCCUUGACUUUGGGAUAACUUCAGGAAACUGGGGCUAAUACCGGAUAGGAGCUCCUGCUGCAUGGUGGGGGUUGGAAAGUUUCUGCGGUUGGGGAUGGACUCGCGGCUUAUCAGCUUGUUGGUGGGGUAGUGGCUUACCAAGGCCUUGACGGGUAGCCGGCAUGAGAGGGUGGACGGCCACAUUGGGACUGCGAGACGGCCCAGACGCCUACGGUAGGCAGCAGUGGGGAAUCUUGCACAAUGGGCGGAAGUCUGUUGCAGCAACGUCGCGUGCGGGAUGACCGCCUUCGGGUUGUAAACCGCUUUCGCCUGUGACGGAGCGUGAGUGACGGUAAUGGGUAAAGAAGCACCGGCUAACUACGUG
This 468-nucleotide ribosomal RNA is filed under the name uncultured bacterium. RNAcentral's name for it is "partial 16S ribosomal RNA". It matches the Rfam family "Bacterial small subunit ribosomal RNA", at positions 28 to 507 of the family's 1533-position model. The record is from RNAcentral.